This 85-nucleotide microRNA precursor is filed under the name Eptesicus fuscus (big brown bat). Its description in RNAcentral is "mir-9228 microRNA precursor family". It matches the Rfam family "mir-9228 microRNA precursor family". Lineage: Eukaryota; Metazoa; Chordata; Mammalia; Chiroptera; Vespertilionidae. The record is from Rfam by way of RNAcentral.
AAAUCUUGGCUGUGAGGACCUGCUGUGUCUAUAACGGAAGAAUUGCUGUGCUGGAGAUACAGUAGGGCUUUGGUGCUCACUGAGU